GAUUUUUGUCUUUUUGGAUCACGAACCCCAGGGGCUGUGGGGAAGUGAGGAAGAGGGGUUAAGCACCCUAGUGGCGCCGCUCCUAGUUCGCCGCAGCCAUCCAGAGUCCAAUGUCCGAGCUAGGAGAGUCCC
Chelonoidis abingdonii (Abingdon island giant tortoise) is the source of this 132-nucleotide non-coding RNA. The record is from RefSeq and is a predicted model, not a curated record. Lineage: Eukaryota; Metazoa; Chordata; Testudines; Testudinidae.